GCUUGAAAUACCCAGCUUUCCGAGGCCGUCUCUGAUCUGGCAAGUUGAGCAACGUUGAUUCCAGUUUGUACUUGGAUUGGAGGCGGCCUGAGAAUCCUGAAUGUUACAAGCU
Molecule: ribosomal RNA, 112 nt
Organism: Caenorhabditis elegans
Lineage: Eukaryota; Metazoa; Nematoda; Chromadorea; Rhabditida; Rhabditidae
Source: Ensembl